Molecule: long non-coding RNA, 1789 nt
Organism: Triticum urartu
Lineage: Eukaryota; Viridiplantae; Streptophyta; Magnoliopsida; Poales; Poaceae
Source: RefSeq, a predicted model, not a curated record
UUGCCCAGAUACAACCUCCCCUCUAUCUAAAAAAAAAAUAGAAAAUACUACCUCCCCUAGAACGCGAGCCCCUUUUUCUCCUUGAUCCCACGCAACCUCCUCGUCUCGCUCGCUCUCCCCUUUCUCCGUUGCCCCACGCCGCGACAUCCCCCUCCCGUCAGCGAUGGAGGCCCUGCAACCCAUGGGGACGGUGACGGUGGCCUCACGGGGGUGGCCUCGUCGACAACCUCGACUGGGUGGACGAACCAACGUCGGCUGGUGUGCCCGGCGACGAGUUCCCGUAAUUGUUGGUCAUUGCUACCUAGACCAGAUGGGAGCACGACAAGAUCCGCCACCACUAACCUUGCGUGCAGGGAGCUCCUUUCCUUUCUCAUCCCUUGUAUUUCUCUUCCUUUGCUUAUUCUCCUCUGUUUCUGCCGUGGUGUAGCAGACCAUGGAGGACUACUGGAAGCGCACUUCGUGCAGUCGCCGGCUUGCGCAUGGACAAAGAGGAGGGAUUAAGAGGUUGGAGGCCAUGGAUGUUGGAGCCCACAAUAGAAUGUUCAUCUAUAGCAAGAAUGAAGAUAGUUCCCGCAAAAAAAAAACAAGAAUGAAGAUAGUUCAUCAGAAAAUCAAGCGAGGACUUUGAGAAAAUGGGAUUCCUUCUCCCUUUCUCCCUCUCUAUCACUACUGAUGAUCACAUGUUUCCCUCGAUUUUUAGUUUAUUUUGGUUAUCCGUGUCAUCGUGUGCUUUCAGUUAUAUUGUUUCCUAAAUGAAAAACAAAAGUUAGUAGGUGCUAUGUCUGAUCAUAUCUGUUUCAUGUGUUUGUUGUUCACACUGCUGGAAUUUUCUAAUGUUGUUUGUCUCAGGUUGUUCAUCUCAGCUUGUGAAUUUUAUAAUGUUGUUUGAUAACAGAUAAGUUUUCCCAGACAACUUCCAUGGGCAGAUUGUCAUUGACUCACUUGGUAUCUGGUACUUACUAGCAUACUUUUACUACUUAAGUGCUAAGAACAUUUUGAAUUAACUGAAGGUAGCUUGCUUCUGUUUUAUGGUACAUUCAUACUAAUUAUAGCUGACAGAAAAUGUGCUUUGUCAGCAUGAAGGUAAAAGAUGGGAAGGUAUAAUGCUCAUGGGCCUCAGUGCUACUAUCAUAUAGAGAUAACUGCUGCAAAGUUCAUAUAAUGGUCCCUGUUUCUUUUAUUGGAAUAUUGACAUUGUUUUCAAAGAUUCAAUUUAGUUGGAUUGAGUUUCUGUUUUAACUUUCUAACAUGUGCAUGCAGAUGAACUAAGAAUUAAAGGUAGUACUUAUUUAAAGUUUCUUUUUCCAUUGAAAUGUGCAGUUUUACACAUUUCUAUGCCCCUUUUCCUAUUUGUGUGCAUCAAACAGUAGAAAUCAAUGUUAAUAUUCUUUAUCUGCGAGCUAACUGAGAGGCAUGUCCUUUUUAUGUCAAGCUGAGAGUUCAAUUGUCACAAUGAAAUCUAGGGAACUAAGGCAGGAGAAUGGGAUUUCACAGGGUUGGGAAGCAGUCAAUUGGUGAUCAUCGAACGUGUCGGAACUUCCAAGGAAAUGUCUCUCUGUGGCUAAAAUACAUCGGUUUUCCCCUCAAGUCACUAAACUGCAAUGCGUAGUUGGUCGGUCACUGUCAAUUGAAUCCCAGAAUUGAAAUGUCUUGCCGUUUUACAAUUCUUGUUUUGCUUCACAAUCUUCUCUGUUAAAUAAACCUGUUUGUAUAUAUGAAACAACACCUUUUAGUAUCUAUGAAACUAGUACGCUUGCUCUGCUUUAUGAAUGAACACUUAUCUCCUGCA